This 1810-nucleotide ribosomal RNA is filed under the name Rhodococcus (subgen. Prescottella) equi. Its description in RNAcentral is "Rhodococcus hoagii partial 23S ribosomal RNA". It matches the Rfam family "Bacterial large subunit ribosomal RNA", at positions 1229 to 2925 of the family's 2925-position model. Lineage: Bacteria; Bacillati; Actinomycetota; Actinomycetes; Mycobacteriales; Nocardiaceae. The record is from RNAcentral.
UAGGGGAGCGUCGUGCAGCCAUGGAAGCGCCGGAGUGAUCCAGGUGUGGAGGCUGCACGAGUGAGAAUGCAGGCAUGAGUAGCGAAAGACGAGUGAGAAACUCGUCCGCCGAAUGACCAAGGGUUCCUGGGCCAGGUUAAUCCGCCCAGGGUGAGUCGGGACCUAAGGCGAGGCCGACAGGCGUAGUCGAUGGACAACGGGUUGAUAUUCCCGUACCCGUGUGAACGCGCCCCUGGUGAAUCAGUGAUGCUAAGCGCCCUGAAGCCGCCUUCGAACCUUCGGGUUCUCCGGUGUGUGGAUGCGCGUGAACCGAUCUGGUAGUAGCCAAGCGAUGGGGUGACGCAGGAAGGUAGCUGAGCCAGUCAGUGGUAAUACUGGGUAAGCGUGUAGGGCGUGACCUAGGCAAAUCCGGGUCACAUACAGCCUGAGACGUGAUGCGUAGCCGAUUGAGGCGAAUUCAGUGAUCCUAUGCUGCCGAGAAAAGCCUCUAGCGAGCUUUCACACGGCCCGUACCCCAAACCGACACAGGUGGUCAGGUAGAGAAUACUAAGGCGAUCGAGAUAACUGUGGUUAAGGAACUCGGCAAAAUGCCCCCGUAACUUCGGGAGAAGGGGGGCCUCGUCUGGUGACGGAACUUGCUUCCUGAGCUGGGUGGGGCCGCAGAGACCAGAGAGAAGCGACUGUUUACUAAAAACACAGGUCCGUGCGAAGUCGUAAGACGAUGUAUACGGACUGACGCCUGCCCGGUGCUGGAAGGUUAAGAGGACCGGUUAGCCAGUAAUGGCGAAGCUGAGAAUUUAAGCCCCAGUAAACGGCGGUGGUAACUAUAACCAUCCUAAGGUAGCGAAAUUCCUUGUCGGGUAAGUUCCGACCUGCACGAAUGGCGUAACGACUUCUCUGCUGUCUCAACCACAGACUCGGCGAAAUUGCAUUACGAGUAAAGAUGCUCGUUACGCGCGGCAGGACGAAAAGACCCCGGACCUUCACUAUAGCUUGGUAUUGGUGUUCGGUUCGGUUUGUGUAGGAUAGGUGGGAGACUGUGAAGCGGGCACGCCAGUGUUCGUGGAGUCGUUGUUGAAAUACCACUCUGAUCGUAUUGGACAUCUAACCUCGGACCAUGAUCUGGUUCAGGGACAGUGCCUGGUGGGUAGUUUAACUGGGGCGGUUGCCUCCCAAAAUGUAACGGAGGCGCCCAAAGGUUCCCUCAGCCUGGUUGGCAAUCAGGUGUCGAGUGCAAGUGCACAAGGGAGCUUGACUGUGAGACUGACAGGUCGAGCAGGGACGAAAGUCGGGACUAGUGAUCCGGCACCGGCAAGUGGAAGCGGUGUCGCUCAACGGAUAAAAGGUACCCCGGGGAUAACAGGCUGAUCUUCCCCAAGAGUCCAUAUCGACGGGAUGGUUUGGCACCUCGAUGUCGGCUCGUCGCAUCCUGGGGCUGGAGUAGGUCCCAAGGGUUGGGCUGUUCGCCCAUUAAAGCGGCACGCGAGCUGGGUUUAGAACGUCGUGAGACAGUUCGGUCUCUAUCCGCCGCGCGCGUUAGAAACUUGAGGAAGGCUGUCCCUAGUACGAGAGGACCGGGACGGACGAACCUCUGGUGUGCCAGUUGUUCCGCCAGGAGCACUGCUGGUUAGCUACGUUCGGAAGGGAUAACCGCUGAAAGCAUCUAAGCGGGAAGCCUGUUCCAAGAUGAGGUUUCUCACCCCCUCGAGGGGGUAAGGCCCCCGGCAGACCACCGGGUUGAUAGGCCAGAACUGGAAGCACAGUAAUGUGUGGAGGUGACUGGUACUAAUAGGCCGAGGACUUACCACAA